RNAcentral lists this long non-coding RNA (13428 nucleotides) under Lupinus angustifolius (narrow-leaved blue lupine). RNAcentral's name for it is "long non-coding RNA (LANG_LNC001892)". Lineage: Eukaryota; Viridiplantae; Streptophyta; Magnoliopsida; Fabales; Fabaceae. The record is from RNAcentral.
UUCAUUUACAACCAUAUUUCUCUCAUCUUGACUCUUUAAGAGUCCAUUUCUUCUUUAUCAGAGAAUGUGGUAGAUUUUCAUCACCCUCACAAUUAUUUUGUUUAGACACAAUCCCAUUAACUUCAUUUGCAACAAUACUUCUUUCAUCAUGACACUGGAUAGCACUCUUUACCCUCCGACCUUACAUCAUCUUCAUCAUGAACCACAUAAGGCGGUAGCAAUAUGAACUGAGUGUCCGAGUCUCCAGAAAAUUAUCGUAGGAGUGACACAUGAAAAACUAGUUGUACUCUUAUUGUGGCUAGUAAGGCAAGCUCAUAUGCAACUGCCCCUAUACGAUGGAGCACCCAAUAUAGUCCAAAGUAAUUUGGGCUUAAUUUUUAUGAAGCUCGGCCGACCACUGUGACUUGUCUAUAAAGUUGUAACGUCAGAAGGACCCACUAACCCUCACUAAAGGUAAUAUCUAUCCUCUCGACUGUAUUUGUGCUAUCAUACGUUGUUGUGCACGAAUGAGAUUAUGUUUAACACGGAUAGCAUUGUUUUCCUCAUUUGCAUGGUAUGUGUGACAUGGAAAGGGGUGAAAAGUUGGAUAUAUAGUGUCGGAGAGUAUGAGGUUGGCGGCCGUAAAGUGCUUCAAACAGCGAGAUGCUAGUAGCAGAGUGGUUGCUAGUAUUGUACCAAUACUACACUAAAGGGGCAUGGCAAAACCAUUUACUCGGUUGGGAUACAGUGAAACAAUGGAGGUGUGUCUGGAGGCAUUGAUUGACUACCUCCAUUUGGCCAUCAGUUUGAGAAUAGUAGGCAGAACUAAAACAUAGUUAUGUUCUGAAGAUCCGAAAGAACUCUUGCCAAAAGGAGCUUAGGAAUAGUUUAUGCCAAUAUGAGAUAACGGACCAGGGAACACCAUGCAACCAUGCUAUCUCAACCAAAAAACAUUGGGCAAGGAUCUCAGAACUGAACUUGGAUGGCAUGCCCAGAAAGUGUGCGUACUUGGAUAGAAGAUCUAUGACAAUCCAAAUGACCACGUGCCCAUGAGAAGGUGGUAAGUGAGUUAUAAAAUCUAUAGAAAUAUUCGUCCCAUAUAUUCAGAGGAAUUGUGAGUGGUUGUAAUGGUCCAUUUUGUUUUGUAUGGACAUACUUGUUAUAUUUGCAUGUGGUGCAGUGGUUGAUGAAGUCCUUGGUUUGCUUGGACAUUCCCAACAAGUAACAUAAAGUGGCUAAGCAUGUCAUGGUGGGCUUAAGACCGAAGUGACCAGAACAAAGGGUGAAAUGAUACUCAGUAAUGAUAGACUGCCAAAGAUCAAGUAAGUCAUGUAUAAAAUUUCUUUGUUCAUAAAACACCAAGCCAUUUGAGAACUGAAGUUUUUGCUUCAUGCUUGCAUUUGGUUCAGCCUUCUGAAUGAAUUGUAGGCCUUUUGAGGUAGUAUAAUAACUACACAACUGGUGGAGAACAAGGAAGAAAAAAUCGCUAUCUCAUCACCAUGACAUCUAGAGAGGGCAUCUAUUGUAACACUGUGAUUUUCUGUGCGCGUUUUAUUAAUUAUUUAAUUGACAAACAAUUAAUAUUAGAAAUUAAUCAGUAUUGAUUUAGGCUAAAUCUAAGUUGAGUUUUAGUCUUGUAUCUUUAUUUCCUAAUUUAUGGUAAAUUUGCAUAAUUUUCUGAGACGGAAAGUCUUUGGGCCUCUUUCGAACCCAAAUUCACCCUAAAUUCGGCUAAAAUGUGAUUUUUGAGUUCUGUAACUCAGAAUCAAAUUCUGAUUGCACCAUUGGCAUCAAAAUAUUAUUUCAAGUCAAAAUAGAUACCAAGUUUAUCCAUAAAUCAUCUCUAGAUAUUUUCACUCCAAAAUCCAAGUUUCAAUGUAACCAUAAAUCAAGAGAUUUUUAAUCUUCGGUCGAGUUUUAACCGACAAUACUCGGGCAUGAUUUUAAUCAUGAUAUUUCCUCGCAUUAGUCACACCACCCAUUCAUGAGUCAAGGCCGCUUGUUGAAUAAGCAAAAGUACAAUCACUUACAUAAUCCCCUAUAUCACUCAGUAACUCCUUACGCCACCAUGCAAAAUUUGAUUCCUCUCUUUAAAAGCAACCCAUUGGUCUUGAGGGAGAACACUUUUUUUUUCCUCACUUUCUCACUUUGCAUUCUAAGAGAUUUCAUUAUUUAUCUUCUUGUUUUCUCAAUCUCUCACACAUACACCAUUAGAUAGUUAUCAUCUUUUAGUAUGUUGUUCUUGAUUAUGUGAUCAACACUAUCAACCCUUGUGGUUGCUUUAGAAUGAAAUGUGUUGAUAUGACCAUAGAGUUUUAUUGAAUCAACUUAAGUUAGCUUACUUUAAAGUGGUAAGUUUAACUUAAGAGAUCUUGAUUUAAAAUGUUAACUUUUGAUAUGUUGUUCUUUAUUAUGUGAUCAACACUAUCAAACCUUGUGGUUGAUUUAGAAUGAAAUGUGUUGAUAUGACCAUAGAGUUUUAUUGAAUCAACUUAAGUAAUCUUACUUGAAGUGGUAAGUUUAACUUAAGAGAUCUUGAUUUAAAAUGUUAACUUUUGAUAUGUUGUUCUUGACUAUGUGAUCAACACUAUCAACCCUUGUGGUUGCUUUAGAAUGAAAUGUGUUGAGAUGACCAUAGAGUUUUAUUGAAUCAACUUAAGUUAGCUUACUUUAAAGUGGUAAGUUUAACUUAAGAUAUCUUGAUUUAAAAUGUUAACUUUUGAUAUGUUAUUCUUGAUUAUGUGAUCAACACUAUCAACCCUUGUGGUUGCUUUAGAAUGAAAUGUAUUGAGAUGACCAUAGAGUUUUGUUGAAUCUAAUUUAGUUAACUUACUUUAAAGUGGUAAGUUUAACAUAAAAUAUCUUGAUUUUAAAAUAUUGUUUUUAUGAAUGAGAUCAACACUAUCAGCCCUUGUGGUUGCUUUAGAAUGAAAUAUUUUGAAAUGACCAUGGAGUUUUAUUGUUCAAAAUUAUUGAAUCCACUUGAAUUAGCUUACUUUAAAGUGGUAAGUUUAACUUAAGAGAUCUUGAUUUAAAGUGUUGACUUUGGUUAAGUAGCUUACCUUAAAGUGGUGAAUAUGACUUAAAAAGUCUGCAUGAAAGUAUUAAUUUGUGUUAAAGUUAAAAGUACAAGCUUUGUUAAAGUCUUAUUUUAAAGGAUUGUUUUCUUAAAAAAGACUUUCGAUAAUAAAGAAUGGUUCAAAAAUAUGUAAUCUUGAACUGGAUGGAUGAAAGUGAUUGAGUCCAUAAUAGGUUAAAAGAUGUCUUUACCUAAGGGUUAUCAUGCAAGAAUUUUAACUCACAAUCCUACUGAUUUGUUCUUGUCUUUAUUUCCGAAGCUUUCGAAGUUGGACAACAUACUUGUUUCGCACUUAUCACCAAGGGAACCACUCUGUAGCUACUGUAACUAGGAGUAAUCGAUUAACUCUUUUACAUAAUCGAUUAUCGACAUCAAAAAUCAGAAUCUUGUAGCUACUAUAACUAGGAAUAAUCGAUUAACAUGUAACAUAAUCGAUUAUCAAUAUUCUAAAAUCUCCCUAUCUGAUGGACAUAAUUGAUAACCUGGUCUGGUAAUUGAUUAUCGAUAUCAUAAGUCAUAAUUCUUUUAGCUACUAUAACUAGGAAUAAUCUAUUAACCCUUGGCAUAACUGAUUAUCAGUGUUAUAAAAUUGUUUGAAUGAUACAAAAGUAUGGGAAUGUGAGUAAUACAAGAUAAAAUACAUUAAAAAGGACUGAUGUCCCAAAGAUGAAACAAAUACUUACCACUAGAGCAUAAGUAAACGCUAUCUACCAGUAAUAUGGGUUGUUGGUGGUAACGAGAUUAGUUAGGGCCCUCCUAACAAGGUCGUCGACUAUUAUGUCGUUAAGGGCGAGGCCCAAAAGGUUGUGUUUACCACGAAGCGACAUCGUCUAACCGUAAGUAGCUUGGCCAUUAGCCCGUCUAGGGUGAUUCAAUGAUGGUCCAUAGUGGUGAGGAUAUUAUUCCUCUUUUAUGUUAUGACGUAAGAUCGGGUCCCACAAGAAGCAUUCCUUUGGGAGAUGUCUUAGGCUGGGCCGAUCAUGUAAAAAUAAAUAAUGAUUAAAAGUUUUAAUCGGCUAACCUCGGUUAGUGUGCAUACUCAUUAUGAAUAAUGAAGUAGUGGAGAGCAAAGUUACGGGAGAUGAAUGAGCCUCGGGAUGUUGAGAGAGACUGUGAUGGUGGUUAGGCAUUAGCAAAAGCCUUGAGGAAGAGUCUAGGUGAGACGAGUCCCCUGUAUUCGUGGAUGAGGUAUUCUGUUGGAUCGAACAAUUCUCAUAACACAAACUAGAUAAUCUCUAACAACCCUUUUUUGCAAUCAGGAUUGAUGAGAGGGAUGCCCAGAAAGUGUUUGAUACGACAUCAUCCUGAAAUGGACAGUUCCAUUAGAACAGAUCUAUCAUAUAUCCUUACGAGGAAUAAGUUGGUGCGUUCAAAUCGGCUUGUUAUGUGACUUGUACUCUCGGUUAUUUCCGAAUAAUUUAUUGGGAGGAUAUUGGUGUAAGGAUGGAUGAUCUAAACAUAACAUUCAUAUAUGGAAAUAUUGACCCCCAUAUAAUGUUAUAAAAAUCAUUCAUCAUCUGCAUUUAUGUAUCUGAUAACAUAGUAUGUCUAUUAUGUGUGUUAUGUUUGGAUGUGAUAUUCUGUAUAAUUCCAUGUCGUCGAUGAAAAAUAUUCGUUAGAUGUCUUACUCCAUUUCUUUCUGCUUUUAUUUUGGUACACAUCCUUGUCCAGAUGGACAAAUAUGUGCAGAUUCAGAGCUACCGAUUCUCAAUGUCCUAGGAGGGGGCAUGGAGAAUUGAUGGGGACCGUUAUACCUACACAUGCCCUUGUGGCUUGUAGCUGGAGAUGGUGUAUAACGACACCACUAUGCGCUUUCCAUCUCACCAUGCAUUCAUGGAGACUUCUUUCACUCUACCAGGCCAGAGGCCGAUACCUACUGUGUCAUCCACCCAGUCUUCGACUCCUUGUGGACCAGCUGUUGCAGGACCGUCAAUAAGGCGAAGGAGUUGGAAUGAUGUGACUCGUUCUACACUGUCGAGGAGAGCCACUCGGCGUACAAUUCUAGAACCACAUGCAUAUGCUAGGAUAGGGAUUAGGUCGCGGGGUUCUGCCAAUGAUACGUGGAGGAGAUGGAAUCUGAAUAUGACGAUUGUAUGGAGUUGGUCCACAUAGAGGACUCUAUCGAGGUGAUAAAUCUCUCUUCGGACUCUGAGUUGGAGGAGGACCCGAGUGAGGGUUCUAGUGCCCUGUUAGUGUUGGAGCUAGUCGUUAGGAGCUAUUUCCUUUUCCUUUGUGCUUUUUGGAGUUAGGGUAUCUAUGUAGGAUAGUUUUGUAGUGCUGAAGAAUUCAGCCUAUUUUGUAUAGCUUCAGUUGAGCGAUAAUUAGAUUCCAUCGUGUAUUCUGUACUAACAUUUUACAUGACCAAGCAACACCUUGUUAUAUAUGUUGUAUUAAUGAAGAAGUAUUCAGGAAAGUAUUGUAUCAUUUUCAGUUACCGUUAGGUAACCGUCAUUGAUUUUUCGCAGUUUAUGUUACUAAGAACGUGAUGUCUCGAAAAAGAAAUGAAUACAAGUAAAACAAUUUCUAAUGAUAUAUUCAAAAAGAAAUUUCACAUUUUAAUCACAAUAUUCAUAAAGUAAUCUUUGCGACAUUACAUCUGCCACCCUAUUCGAAGUAUCAGAUCUAUAUCUAAUUUCAUAUUGAAACCCAAUAAGCUUAGUUACUCACUUUUGUUAUUGUAGUGUGUGUAACCCUUAGGUCAUAAGAUGCUUUAAAAUUUGUUGAUUUAUUAGUAUACGAAAAUGCCUUCCAAUUUUUAGGUAUCAGUGAAAAGAACACACCUAGAAGGGGGUUGAAUAGGUGUAGCGGAGCUCAAGUUUCGAUUUUUGGGUUUUUGCACACUUGCUGAAAAAUGUCCAGCUAAUCGAUUAAGCACUGUUCAUAAUCAAUUAAACACAGUAAAAACAGAAUGCAGAAAAAACUUGUUUCACAACUCUCUUGCACGACAAGUUACGAGAAAUCAGGCAAUAUUACAACUUGAAAUGUAAAAGAGAAAGGGAUAGAAAAGAUUGCGCAAUGAUUUUAUCCUGGUUCGUUUUGCUGUCCAUUACAAAACUACAUCCAGGCCUCCCCUUCUGAUCUUGGGAGAUUUUCUUCUUCACUAUAGAACACAAUGUAUAGUUACAUACACGCUUUCAAUUACAAGAUUCGAACAUUUCUUUCUUGGAACCUAAACAAUUUCGUCACCCUUGGUUUGACUUUUCCUAAAAUCGCUUCCCAAUAAAAUCUUUCUUACCGUGAUUCGGCCCGUAUAUGAUAUAUGCUCAUGCAAUACAUGAUUUCCAAAUAUAAUACAUUUAUUGCAAAAAAUCAAUGUAUUCAAAUGCGUGAACCUAAAUAUCAUAUAUUUCUUGAUGAUGUUUCAUUUUAGUGGAUUAAUUACUUUAUUAAGUCUUGUGAGACUCACACCUAGGUUUACCUAACCUAGACUCAAUAUCUAUGGAAAAGAUAAUAAAGAAUUAUAACCUAAGUCUAAUAAGUCACCACUUGAGUCAUCGGCAUGUUGUUUGUUGAAUGAUCUUCAAGCUUGUCUUCAUGUUGGUCAUCAUGUUUGUCUUCAUCAAAACAUAGAUCAAUCUCCAAUGGUGCACUUCACUUUCACCAAUCAAAUACUGACACCAUUUUUGACUACUUUUGUGACAGGAAAAAUGUCUCUGACAUAUGUCGAUGUGUGUUGCAAUCGUGAUGACAUUUUUUUGCUGAAGAAGGCAAAGGGAUGUCCAUUUUGGGAAAGCACAACACCGAUAGCCAUUGCAGAGACAUCCGUUUCCACCUUAAAGGUUUGGGAGAAGUCACGCAGCCGCAAGACAAGGGUUUUUAUCAUUGCUUUCUGUAAAUUUGUAAAUGCCAAUUAAGUUGCUGAUGUCCAUGUAAAAUUAUGUCAUGUUAGUAGAUCGGUGAGGGGAGCAGUGAAUAUGGCAUAAUUUCUAACAAAUUUAUGGUAAAAUUCGGUGAGGCCUAAGAAUCUAAUGAGCAUCGUGACUGAACGUGACUGUGACUAAUCUAGCAUAGCUUGGAUUUUUUUGGGGUUUGGUUGCACUCCUCCAUAUAAGAUGAUAUGUCUCAAAUAGCUCAUUGACUUAACUACAAAAACACAUUUUGAUAACUUUCCAUAAAACUGAUUAGAAACCAAUAGGUUCAAUACAAUUUCUAGAUGAUGUAAAUGAUCACUAAGAUUACAACUAUAGACAAGAUUAUCAUCAAAGAAUAUAAGAACAAAUUGUCAUAAAUAUGGCCUUAACAAAUCAUUCAUGGCUCCCUGAAAAGUGGAGGCGAUAUUUGUGAGCCCAAAAGGCAUCAUCAGAAACUCAUAAUGCCCGUCAAAUGUACAAAAAGCGGUUUUAUGAGUAUGAGAUGGUUGUACUGUGAUUUGGUGAUAAACAAACCACAAAUCAAUCUCAGAAAAGAAUGUUGCAUUCUCGAGCUCAUCAAGUAGCUCAUCAAUAGUUGGAAUGAGAAAGCCAUCUGGAAUAGUAAUCGACUUAAGUGCUUGAUAAUUAACACAUAACCUCCAAUUGUUGUCUUUCUUCUGCACUAGAAGCACCUCUAAUGAAAACGGACUAGUACUUAGGAUUAUAAUCCCUGCUUGCAACAUUUCUUUUGUCAUGGAGCACAUAAUUUCCUUUUGAGAAUGUAGGUAGCGAUAUGGUUUACUGUUUCCAGUAGAGUUGGGAAGUAAGGGAAUAGUAUGGUCAUGGGUCCUUGAUGAUGGUAGUGAGGUGGGUGUUUGGAAAACAAUAUCAUAUUCUUGUAGGAGUGUUUGGAUUUGUGGGUCAGAGGGGGAAUGGGCUUGGGUAAGUAUGGGUCAAUAAUGGUGAUAGUAUGAAAUGUAGCGAUGCAAUCAGUUUGAAAAAGUCUAGUGAAUUGGUGUAGUGUGUAGGGUUGAAGGUUGUAGGAUGAUUACCUAGUGAAUGUUAUAGUAUUUUCCCCAACAGUGAACUGCAUAGAUUGGACAAAAAAUCAGAAAUAAUUAACUCUAGUGUUUGUAGCCUCUCAAUGCCCAAAUUCACAUCAACCCCUUUAUUUGGUAGAAAAUAAAAUGGAAUUAGGAACUAUUUGUGUUGUAAAGUGAUAGGAAUAUUAUCAAUUAGACCAUUAUAGUAAAUGUGAGCUCCAUUUCCUACCAUGACUGGAUAUUGGAGGGUUUGAGUGAUUGGAAAGUGUGAUGAUUUGCAAUUCUAGGUUGUAAGAUAUUAUGGGAAUUACAAGUAUCAACUAGAACAAUAGGUGGCUAACCUUGUAUUAAACCUGAAAAUUUCAUAGUUUUAGGGGAAAUUUGACCCCCAAGGGCUUGGUUAGAAAUAUGAAAAUGAAUAAGGUCAUUAGAGUAUGACUUUGCAGGAGGGUUUGUCAAGUCCUCUAGUAUAGGGUCCAGGUAGUGGAGAGCACGCUUAAUGGGUUGUGAGACAUCAUCUUCUAGCAACAAUAAAAAUUUCCUAGGCUGACAUUUGUGGCCAACAUAAAAUUUCUCAUCAUAGUUGUAACAAAGCCUUUGUGCACGCCGCUCUUGCAUUUGAGUAGUAGUGAGAUGACGAAUAGGAAUAGGUGAUGAAUUGGUAUUUAGGUUGGGAGUAAGGACAGGAGGUGUCUUGGUAAAAGAGUUGGGGUAUGAGUGAGAUUGAAAUUGUGUAGUGUUAGGAAUGGUACGACUAGUAUCACGAAUUUUUUAUUCCACCAACUUAGCAAAACCCAGAGUAUCUGAAAUAGAUGUAGGACGUAAAAUAGUCAACUCAUGGCGUAUUUAUGGGGAGAGACCUGAAUAAAGUAGUUUAAAUUGACCUGUUGUGAUAGACCCCAGACCCUGUUACACAAUUUCUCAAAUUAUUGUUGGUAGUCAGCAACUAUACCAAAUUGCUUUACUUUGAACAGUUUAGCUUGAUAGUUUGUGGAGGUGGAUGGCCCAAUACGGGUUUCCAAAGUCCUGUUGAAUGAGUGUCAAUUAGUAAGUUAGAAAUUAUGAAACAUCCACUUAAACCAACUAACGCUACUCCUUGCAUAUACAAGGUGAUCAUUGGAAGACGUUGAUCCGGAAUGAUCAUAUAGAGCUGAAAAAAUUAUUCUGCUUGUAAAAUCCAAUCAAGUGGUUCAAAGGAUGAAAGUACCAAAAUGUUAGGAAGAUGAUAUAUUAGACUAAGAAGAUGAAGAAAAAAUUAGAGAAAAACAAUAAGAGAAUUCUUUGCUGUAAAUUUCAUGCUUCAUUCUUAUCAGUACUGGCUUAAUAAAGUCAAACUACAAAGGUGACAAAUGAUCUGAACCGUACAUGUGAUCAGGUCUUACAUGAAUAAUAAUGGAAGAAAAAGGUAAGUAUCUCCCUUUUGGGCCUUCCUAUUUUAUGGACUGGAAGAGUCCUGUAGGAUAAAAAUAUCUUACAUCCCAUAAUGCAAUAUUAUAUUUUAAUUUUAUCCAAAUAUCCUAUAUGGGGUGGAUCCAAUCAGUUUUUGCUUUGUGCUCAUCAAACUCUAUCAACAUGUAAAUUCUUCAAAGUCCUAUUAAAUUUAUCAUCUCCUAAUACCUUCUUGUAUAGCUCAUGAUGAAGUUUCAUCUCAUUGUUCAAGUCAUAACGAACUAGCAUAUGAUCUGGUAUAGCAUUGAUAUUGAACAGAAAAAAUAAUUUCCAUCACCAUCCACAUCACAAACAGACUCUAUAUACUCUGGUAUAGCAUUUGGGACACUGAAGGUGUGUGACUUGUGUAAUUGAAAUAUUUUCUUUUCUGAUGAUUGAGUUGUGUUCAACCAUAGUCGAGAUGUCAUCUUCUAUGAUGCUUGGGCUACUUUCACUUUUUGAGGUUGAGAUAUUAUCUUAUGCGAUUUUUGUAAUGUUUUCUUUUGGGAAGGUGUGGUUGUUUUGAUCCGUGAAGAUUGAGAUAUUAGAUUCCUUCUCUUCACGGGUUGUUCGGAUGCUUCUCUCUACUUAUCAAUAUGCUCCCAUAAUGAAGGAUCGCAGUUAAGAAACUUUUCUUUUGUAGAAAAACCUUUUUUCAUAACUAUUUCCUUGGGAUGAAUCAUUGAGGUAGUUUCAUACCAUAAUAAUCGAUGUCUAAAUUCCUCAAUUAUUGGUUCUGGAUCAAACUUUUCUUCUUCUUCAUUGAUAGAUUUAUUUUCAUUAUCAAAUAAAGAUAAUCUCUACCAUUGAACAUGCACCCACUACAACAUUUUUGGCUUAUGGCAACACUUUCAAUUACAACGGUGAUAAAACUGUGGCUAUAGAGCACAUUAGGCAACGGUUUUUUAAAUUGUUCUCUUACACUUUUUUUUACGUUUUUAAGACAUAACAGUGAAAAACCAUUCCCCAAAAACUAUUCUCAUGGCAUCCCACCACAGUUUUAUUGGCGUGGCCUAAUAAUCUUUAAAAAAACAAUAGAAGAAACCAUUCUUGAAUAUCAAACAUCGCAAAUACAAUAUACCUCUCACUUUGAUUCAACCUCACUCUCACGGUCUCACCCUCUUCACUCUCACGGUCCCACCCUCCUCACUCUCACGGUCUCACCCUCCUCACUCUCACUCUCACCCUCAACCUCACUCUCAUUGAAAGUCUCACUUUGGUGUUCCUCUUCACUCUCUAAUCUAUCACAAUGAACCUGAUUUAGGAUUUGAUGUGAGACUAUGUUUGAUUUUUAGUUUGAUUUGUGGUUUUGUUCUAUUUGAUAUUUUGUUUGAUUUGAGGUUAUUUUUUAUUUAGGGUUCUAUUUGAUUUGGGGUUUUGUUUCUAUUUAAAAACAUUAACAUCAUUCAGAUUUCUCACUUCAAUAUUUUUGAUUCUAUUACCAGAUAGGUUUGCUAAAUUGGUUUGCCAAGCUUGCUCAGAUGAGGAACAAUGGUAGAGGUGGUGCAACUGUUGUUGGAGUUUUUAUUCUAAAACAUUAUCCAUCUUCAACGUCUCUGAUUCCUAUUUCAUUCUUUUUUGGAGCUUUCUAUUUUAAUUUAAGAUUUGAAGCUUGUUAGCAUUAUCCAUCAAUCUUAAUCAUUACAUGCAUGCUCUAUUUUGUUCAAAUUUUUCUUACCUAUUAUUUUUAGAUUUCCGAGGUAUAUGCAAUAGCAUAAUGAGGCAAUUGCGCAAUCUUUUCUAGAAUACCUGCAAGUUCAAUCUUUAGGACAAUAUAUUUUUACUUCCAUGAAGCCAUUCUACUAAUUAUAAAUUGCCUUUAAUUUUCUUAAAUGACCACUUCAAGUGGUUAUUGAUCCUUUAUAGUAUUUUUUAUUGGAAGUUCUUAUGUCUCCAUUGGACCUCUUUGAUUUAUGCAUUACAUCAUUUAAGCAUUAUGUUCCAGACAUUUCAAAGUUUGGUUGUUAUGAAUGUGUGGAAACCAGCUGCUUAAGUGUUUCAACCCCAAUAAGUUGUUGAAGUGUUUUAGUGUUUCAUUAUUUUUCUCUCUUCCUUAUUUCUCCCCCAUCCUAGCAGGGUUAAUAUAGUUGGUCAUGUAAAGCAUAAAACUUGUUAAUAGGAAUGGCAACGGGGCGGGUCGGGGUCGGGUUUGUACAUACCCAAACCCGAACCCGAAAUUCAAAACCCGAACCCGAACCCAAACUCAACGGGGUUGAAAAUAAAAAUACCAUCCCCGAACCCGAAAAUGAUAAAGUGUUAAGGAAAAUAUGAUAUUAUUUUCGUGUAAUUUUACUCUAACAUUUCUAUUUUCUCUUGUAUUAUUUCAUUUCUUUUAUGUUUGAAGAUCAAAUAGUAUAUAAAGUAACAUUAGAGAUUAAAAACAAUUGGCAAAUGAUAGAAAUUUCAAUUUUAAAUUGAAUUACCUUACUUCGGGGCGGGUUCGGGUUAGGGUCUUUGCUAUACCAAACCCGAACCCGAACCCGAAAUUUAAACUCGGGUAAAACCCGAACCCGAACCCAAUCACAUCGGGUUUUCCCCGUUAAAUUCGGGUUCGGUUCGGGCGGGUACCCACGGGUUCGGUUUUUAUUGCCAUCCCUACUUGUUAACAACUUUGAUAUUGUUUUAUCUUACUCUCUAUGGUAGUAGCAAGUUCAUAUUGGUAGAAACUAGAAAGAUUUGUCAUAUGUUGGUUCUGUUAUUGUUAUGGAAGUUACACCUCAAAGCAGAUGUUUCUGUUAUUCUCACCACCACUAUAUUAUGCUUUCUCUUUUUUACUAUAAAAUUAUGUUGAUGAUCUAAAAAGAGUUUUUAACUAAGAUUUUUAGAUAUGACAACUAAGAUUUUUACUAUAAAAUUAUGUUUCUGAUGUUAUCCCUUACCAUUUGAAUUCAAGAAGUUGUUAAUACCUUAGUUUGUAAUUAAUUUUAUAUAGGUGAUUCAUUGAGUACUUGAAGGGACUGCUUGAAUUUGAAUUCAAGAAGUUGUCAUAUGUUAGUUGGAUGUUUACUGUUUUCUGCUGCAAUUUCCUCUGGUUUUCUAUUUGUUGUUUUGCUUUUCUUCUGGCUGGCUAGUUACUCUAUUCUUUUCAAUCUGUAAACUUUAUGCUUGUUAAUGAAAUAUGUUGUUUUUAACACCUUAUAAAAAAUGCUUAGUGUUACUUUAAGAAACUAAAUUCUAAGUGGUUGAUAGUUCUAUGGCUUUUAAUAUGGCGAUAAAGUGCUUCUUAAUUCUAGAGUAGUGAAUAGUAAAUAAUCUCUUUAUAUUUCCUAAUUACCUUUUUUUCCUAACAGUACAUGCUUAAUCAACAAUCUUAAUCAUUGAAACUCAAUUUAGUCCUAAGCUUAUUCACACUUUUUGGAUGCAGUUUAACGAAAGGAAAGAUAUUCUAGAAUACUAGUUGUAUUGAGUGUUGUGUUCCUUUUAUAUUUCAUGUUCCUUGUUUAUGUGGUGGGAAUAAAGUUUGGUUAUUGUUGUUGUUCUCAUUGUUUAUGUGGUUAUUUUUUAUAAAACCUGUGUAUGAUUGAAUGAUGUGUGUUCAACAUGAGUGAGAUUCUUUUCUAUAUCCUCACAUUUGACAUUCUUCUAUACUUUUGCAGCACCAACUCAUAUAUGACUCUAAGAUGGAAGUAGUCAGAUAUAUAAGGUACUAUGGAAAGAGGAAAAUUUUCAGCUUUUCUGGCAAUGGAUUUGGACCGGACAACUUGGACCAUGACCUCUUCAUAGUUCAUGUGUUCUCUUACCAUAGCUAGAAGACCUGCUUCUGUCUUUUUUUAAAUGUUUAUCCUUCAAAAAAAUUACAUUGUUUAUGUUUCCUAUAUACACUUGGUAGUGUUGUCACUAGGAAAAUAGCUGGUAACAUACAUAAAUUAUACAAAUAUGCUGGUAUAAACGUAAUAAUUAUAAGUAGUGAUAGCAAUCAUCUGUUCCAAGUCCCCAUGACAAAUUAUUCCCUUAUAACCUACUCAUUUGUGUAAUAUGAUGACAUAAUUAUUCUUAAAUAGUUGAUUAAAUAAAUAUUACUUUUAGUAAUAAAAAAUGUAUUGUGAGA